UUAGUGAGGUCUUCGGAUUGGCUUUGGGGAGCCGGCGACGGCACCCUAUCGCUGAGAAGUCGAUCAAACUUGGUCAUUUAGAGGAAGUAAAAGUCGUAACAAGGUUUCCGUAGGUGAACCUGCGGAAGGAUCAUUAUNGAAAUUAUAGGUGAGGGUUGUAGCUGGCCUCUCGGGGCAUGUGCACGCCCGAGCCCUUAAUCCACACACACCUGUGAACCUAUUGUAAGGGCCCUUAAAAAAGGCCUUUACGUCUUAUCAUCAACCCAUCGUAUGUCUCAUAGAAUGUAAAUAUAUGUCCUCGCCUUAAAAAGCGUUGAUAAACUUAUACAACUUUCAACAACGGAUCUCUUGGCUCUCGCAUCGAUGAAGAACGCAGCGAAAUGCGAUAAGUAAUGUGAAUUGCAGAUUUUCAGUGAAUCAUCGAAUCUUUGAACGCACCUUGCGCUCCUUGGUAUUCCGAGGAGCAUGCCUGUUUGAGUGUCAUUAAAUUCUCAACUCUGAUCGAUUUGUUUCGACUUCGGAGCUUGGAUUUGGAGCGUGCUGGCGUCGGUCGGCUCCUCUUAAAUGCAUCAGCGGAAUCUAACGUUUCGGACGUCAGUGUGAUAAUCAUGUUGCGCUGUCUGUCUGAUCCGAAAGCCCGCUCACAAUGGUCUUCGGACAACUUCAUAUCAAAUUUGACCUCAAAUCAGGUAGGACUACCCGCUGAACUUAAGCAUAUCAAUAAGCGGAGGAAAAGAAACUAACAAGGAUUCCCCUAGUAACUGCGAGUGAAGCGGGAAAAGCUCAAAUUUAAAAUCUGGCGGUCUUGCGGCCGUCCGAGUUGUAAUCUGGAGAAGCGUUUAUCCGCGUCGGACCGUGUACAAGUCUUCUGGAAGGGAGCGUCGUAGAGGGUGAGAAUCCCGUCUUUGACACGGACAACCGGUGC
This 925-nucleotide ribosomal RNA is filed under the name Piloderma olivaceum. RNAcentral describes it as "eukaryotic LSU rRNA". The stretch from base 676 to 925 matches the Rfam family "Eukaryotic large subunit ribosomal RNA", at positions 1 to 242 of the family's 3401-position model. The record is from RNAcentral. Lineage: Eukaryota; Fungi; Basidiomycota; Agaricomycetes; Atheliales; Atheliaceae.